UUGCAGCCGCCACCCUCUUGCCCACCCCUUUGGCCGCCGCCCCUCCCCCCUCUCCCUCUCCUCCUCCCCCCAAGUUCUUGCAGCCGCCCCCAAGUUCUUGCAGCCACCCCCCAUCACACAACCCUAGCCGCCCCCACCUCAUCUCCUCCUCUCCAAGUUGCAGCCCCUCCCUGCUUGGAUCUCCUUCGUGUUGGUGCAAGCCUUCAAUUGAAGUUUUGGUGGGAGGAAGAAGGAAGAAAGGAAGUAAGAACUCAAGGUGGUGGACUUCCAGAUCGUACUUAGGGCUUUUUCCAAAUUCUCGGUGAAGGCAAGUAAAAUAGUGAUGGUUUAUACCGUUCGUCGAUUUAUGUGUCCUGUUCUUGAUUCAUAUCCCUGUCAAAUGUGUUCAUCCUCGUAUUCCAUUUUGAGAAUUGAUGUUUGAAGUUAAACAUGUUCUACUAUUUACAUAUGUUGAGGGCAUUGUUCGAGCAUGUUAUAUGUGUGGAUUCUUAUUUUGAGGAAGUGGAAGUAUAUAUUUAACACAUGUUAGAAGGGAGUGGUCUCAUGUUGGGGUCAUGCAUAGUGCAUCCAUCAUUCUUUGUAUGGAAGUUUCGUCGCGAUCAUAUGGUCCGACUGUACCAGUACAAUAUGCAUCAUACGUUGCCCGAGGAGGGCUAUGAUGCAGCUUCAUAUCCUUAGAGGUAUGAAGGCAUAAGUCAUUACUGCAUUUGUAGCCAUGUGCACUCAUGGGUAAAACGUGGAACCUUUCAUGGUUACAUGGAUAUUGUGGAUCUGCUCUUUGUGAUUUUUGGAACUGGGUAUUUGGUACCUUGUAUACUUGCUGCAUUUUAAUAUUUAUGAAGGGAGUUGUGAACUUUGUGGUUGUUAAAACACGGUUUGUUUACGUUGUCCAAUUGUUGCUUGAUCAUUUUACUUGCUGAAAUGUGUCAUCUCACUCUUGCAUUGUUUGAUGCAGGCACUUGAACUUUGCUUGGGGAAAGGAGGGAAGUAGCAGCACGAUCACUACACCCCUAAAUAAUUAUACCACUGCUUAGUAAUACUUUUAAACACGGGUUUCAGGUCAAGGAGGUUGAUUAUUAUGAAAUAGUGUGUGCCAGUGGUCUAUUAUGUUCUAGUCUUUAUGGUGGUCACAUUUUUGGUUAGCUGAAUUAAUUUUUUCCUGAAUGUUUAUUUCUUCUUUUGCAUCUUGAUUAUACACUGUGUAUUACCUUUUUUGCAACAUGUAUAAACUCUGUAUUUCCCUCGUUAUGCAACUUUCAAGGGAGGUGCUGCCGAAAUUUUAUUUCUGUCUCCAUUUUUUAUGCUUUCUAAUUUGUGGGAAGGGUUUUUGGUAACACCCAUUGUGUGGGAUCAAUGGGGUGUUACAGGUAAUGGAUGCACUGAACUUCGAGUAUCCAGACUAUGAAAGACUUGACGAGGGGGUCGGGGGAGCAAAAAGAAAAAGCGUUGUCAGCGGACGAAGAGGCUCUGAAGAAAGCAACGCCUGAGCCGAAGGCACUAGCUCCUAAGAAAAGGAAACUUGAAGAGAUACCUUCUGCCGAACCAAAGGUAGAUGAAGCGCCGGAGAAAACCUUGAGCCCUUCGUUGCCUUCUACUGUCGAGGUGUCAGAAAUUUUGAAGAAGAAGAAAAUGCCUUCGGUCACGGAGGAGAAGGUUGGAGGGAAGAGGAAGCAGCGGAUUAUGAAUGUAAUACAAGCGAUUGAGCAAACGCCGCCUUCAGCUUCGUUGGUGAAAGCAGCGAUUCCUGUCAACGCUGAAAGUGCUGGCGGAGCCGAAGCUAAAGAAUUCGUAGCCACAAUGUCAGAAAUUGAUAAACUUAUAUCAGAUGUGGUUGAAGAGAAGCCAGAUGUGGUUGUAGAGAAAAGCAUGGCCGCAGUGCCUGAUAAAGGGAAGAAAAUUUAUGAUGCCCCUUCGGAAGAGAAGGAUUUUGACCUUCGGCACCUAGGUGGCCAGGAACUUUCUGAGGAAGAUAAGUUAGAGUUAAAAGAAUUUGCUAUGUCUUGUGGUUACCAACUGGGUUCCAUACUCUUUGGUGGGGUCGAUGAAAAAAUCUUGGGAUGCAUUCACGACCGCGCCGGGGCAAAGAUUGUAGGCACCUUAUCCAAAAGUGUUGGAUUCCUGAAGUUGGAGACUGACAUUAGCUGCUACAGGCGGCAACAUAUUAUCGGUAGUUUGUUUUAUUCCAAUUUCAAGGUGAGGUUUUUCUCUAAACUUUUAAAUAUUACCUUCGUAGCGGUUUGAGUAUUCUAAUUUUAACUUGUUUUGUAGAGUAUGUUAUUAAUCAAAGCCUUGAAAAUGCAGCAGGAUGCCGAAGAUAGAAAAAAUGAAGUUAUUAUUGAAGGCUUAGAAUAUAAAAUUAAGAAACUUGAAGAUUCUUUAAAAGAAAAAGAUAGUCUGCUGCAUUCAGCCGAAGGCUCCCUCGUAGAAGUGAGGUCUUAGAAUGAUAAGAUGAGCCGAGAGCUAGACAAAGCUCGAGCAACCUUGAACGAGAGAUCAGAGCGCUUCAACCAUGAAAUGAAGGAACUGAAAACAAAGGUCGAAGCCGAAGCUGAAAAGAAUGCGAAGCUAAGCGAAACUGUUAAGAACCUUUGGGAUACAUGCUCCAGCUUUGACACUCGAUGUAUUAAUCGAUUGAAGGGGAUAUUUAACUCAGUCGGAGCCACUUCUAAAGAAAUCACCCCUUCUUCCGAAGAUAUCCCCAGGGCCUUCGAUCAUAUCGAGAAUGAAGUUGAGGCCCUUGAUGAAGUUAUAACUGGGCAUGGAGAUUUAUGUGCUCUAGUGGCUUCACACGGCACAGCUGUAGCAUUCAUGAAGGCCGGGUGCAAUCACGCGAGAGCUGUCAACAAGCCGAACUUUAAUCUUUCAUCAUCGGAUUUGGUUGACGUUCCAACUGAGGCCCAAAGUAUAGGAAAUAGAUUUAUUACCCAAAUUUGGGCAAAGGGCGGGCGCGAAUUGGACGGGGAUGAAGCACGAAAGCUGCUUAACUCAAAUGAUGGUGCCGAAGGUCGCUAAGCCAAAGCUUGUUCCGAAAUACUAAAAGCUCUAGAAUCUCCUUUUGUAUUUACCUAUAGAAAGACUUAGGAACUCAUUGUAUCAUAUGGCAAAAAAUUGUAAUUGUCAGUUGGACAAAUUAUUGUAAAUAUUUGUUAAUACCUUGUAAUACCAUUUUACCUUUCG
Long non-coding RNA from Zea mays, 3177 nucleotides. RefSeq lists it as uncharacterized. The transcript has 4 exons. Lineage: Eukaryota; Viridiplantae; Streptophyta; Magnoliopsida; Poales; Poaceae. The record is from RefSeq and is a predicted model, not a curated record.